UUGUUUUUUACAGGUGUUGCUAAUUGGGGCAGGUUUUCUUCAUCAUACAAGGAGGAGUUCUACACCAUGUACAGCAUUGAGACAUGCUGCGAAUGCAGAACUCUGUACAAAAAAAACACACCUGGAUAUGUUGGGAAAGGAAAAAGGGGAGUGCUGCAAGGUAUUCACUCUGAAGAUCCUAAUCCUGGAUACUGCAGUCACUUUUGCAGCCAAAUGCAAUAGGAUGUCAUCCAUGGAUCUGCCUGUCCAGAGGAGCAAACACCAGGACACUGUGGGAUUUUUUACCAGCA
This is a long non-coding RNA of Fundulus heteroclitus (mummichog), 290 nucleotides long. RefSeq lists it as uncharacterized. The record is from RefSeq and is a predicted model, not a curated record. Lineage: Eukaryota; Metazoa; Chordata; Actinopteri; Cyprinodontiformes; Fundulidae. The transcript has 3 exons.